UCUCACCUGUCACAUAAUGAAACAGAGGAUUUUCUGAGUACUGUGCUCACUUUAGGAGUCCUUAAAGACUUGCAGCCAACCACAAGAGAUUUGGAGUGCUUUCCUCAUAGCGACACGUUUGAAUGUUGCAGUUAGCACCAGCGGUUUCAGGAGUAAAUAAAAUCAUGGUGACGAUGGAGAUAAUUAAGAGAAGAAAAACUCUGCUGUGGUGUUUUCACAGCUUCAUACAUCUGUUCAUACUCAUCAGGGACGAGCCGAGAUUCCCAGACAAUCCCAUUUCCAGGAGGCAGGUGAGGCGUGAAUGUGAGUGCACGGGGGAGGACAAGGCUGGCAUUUGACUCUGCUGAGUAAGCAGAAGAUAUGCAGUUUGCCAGCGAAGCCUACCUCAUAACGAUGUGUGUGUGUGUGAGUGAGAGCACAGUGGCGCUCAGAUGGCAGCUGCUGAGGCUAAUCCCGAGCCUGAGGGACGCAGCCCGGCCCCCAGUGUCAUGCCAUCCUGCCAGGCCUGACGGAGGUGCAUUCAGCCGACCGCUUAGUGUCAUCCGACCGCCGUCACUCAGCCCGUAAUCACAUGACUGACAGACAGGCGGUGCCUUUGAUGGCGGAUUUUAGGAGUGCCGUCGUGUGUGUGUGUGUGCCACAGGAGGGCUGCCUGUUCUUCAUGAGGACGGAUGAUUCUGAUCCAGCUUAGUGAUGAAGAUGAUGAUGAAGAUUACCUUGGUGGGGCAGCGACUCAGCUCAGAGGGACCGAAGAGACACAAAGCCUCAGAUUUACUGUGUGUGUGUGUGUGUUUAACCGUGUCACACACGCCUCACACUCCAAGUGGUAAAAUCUGAAGUACACAUGUAAUCACACGAUUAUGAUAAUACACAUCAAGUGUCUUCUUAGAUGACAGUGUGUGUGUGAUGGUGAGUUGUGUUUGAGUUUGAUGGGGUUGGCGGUGAGCAUGUUCGCAAAAAUCCUGUCGGAGCGCCAAUGUGCCGCGUUCUUAUUGACUGCAAAAUCAGCGGAAACAGGUGACCGCUACCUGCUGAUACUCACUUACUGAUCCUUGAAGUGUGCAGGAGUCGCGUGACCACCGUGGACUAGUCGCUGAUGGUGUUUGAGAUGAAUCAGACGUUCAUAAGUCACAUGACCUGUGAUUAUUUCACAGCACAAAAAUACUUCAAUUAUAGAAGAAAUUAUUUAGUCCAAUUCCAUAACUGUCCCGCAGCAGUGAAUUAACUUCUUUCAUUACAGGAGGCGUGGUACAGGUUGAUCGCUGCUGCACAUCAUUGGUUAGUGGGCGGGGUUACUGUUUGAAGGGGCAUGUUUUAACCCAAACCAAUG
Oreochromis niloticus (Nile tilapia) is the source of this 1330-nucleotide long non-coding RNA. RefSeq lists it as uncharacterized. The record is from RefSeq and is a predicted model, not a curated record. The transcript has 3 exons. NCBI's taxonomy places the organism in Eukaryota, Metazoa, Chordata, Actinopteri, Cichliformes, Cichlidae.